RNAcentral lists this unclassified non-coding RNA (402 nucleotides) under Hevea brasiliensis (rubber tree). Lineage: Eukaryota; Viridiplantae; Streptophyta; Magnoliopsida; Malpighiales; Euphorbiaceae. The record is from RNAcentral.
GCUCCAAAGGCGAAAUUGUUGGAAUGGUUGGCACGUCAGGAUAGGUUAUGGAUGAAAAAUUGGUUGUCUUCCAUUGGUAUUCUAGAUCCUUCGCAACAUAUCUGUCCUCGUUGUAUGGUACAAGGAGAAACAACGGCUCAUCUUUCCUAAACUGCCCCUGAAUGUUUGGACUUGGAUUCUAAGAUAGCGGUAUAUUAAUUUUUGAUUGCUGAGCCCCAUUUUAUGUCCCAUUGUAGAGUGGAAGACUUUAGCCUAUGGGUCUUUUCAUAGACUCAGUUUGGACAUCCUCAUCCACUUUCCUUUUGGUCUGCUUCAUCUGAUUGUGUGAAAUGGCAUUUGAUUGUGUGAAACGGAAGGGGCUAGGUUGCAAUUCUCCUCAUCCACUUUCCUUUUGCUCUGCUU